UACGGAGGGUGCAAGCGUUAUCCGGAUUCACUGGGUUUAAAGGGUGCGUAGGCGGGCAGGUAAGUCAGUGGUGAAAUCUCCGAGCUUAACUCGGAACUGCCGUUGAUACUAUUUGUCUUGAAUAUUGUGGAGGUAAGCGGAAUACGUCAUGUAGCGGUGAAAUGCUUAGAUAUGACAUAGAACACCAAUUGCGAAGGCAGCUUACUACACAACGAUUGACGCUGGAGGCACGAAAAGCGUGGGGGAGUCAAAACAGGA
Molecule: ribosomal RNA, 258 nt
Filed under: uncultured bacterium
Lineage: Bacteria
Description: partial 16S ribosomal RNA
Rfam family: Bacterial small subunit ribosomal RNA
Source: RNAcentral